UAGUCCACGCCGUAAACGAUGAUUACUCGCUGUAGGCGAUACACAGUCUGUGGCUAAGCGAAAGUUUUAAGUAAUCCACCUGGGGAGUACGAUCGCAAGAUUGAAACUCAAAGGAAUUGACGGGGGCCCGCACAAGCGGAGGAACAUGUGGUUUAAUUCGAUGAUACGCGAGGAACCUUACCAGAGCUUAAAUGUAGAGUGACAGGUCUAGAGAUAGAUUUUUCUUCGGACACUUUACAAGGUGCUGCAUGGUUGUCGUCAGCUCGUGCCGUGAGGUGUCAGGUUAAGUCCUAUAACGAGCGCAACCCCUGUUGUUAGUUGCCAGCGAGUGAUGUCGGGAACUCUAACAAGACUGCCAGUGCAAACUGUGAGGAAGGUGGGGAUGACGUCAAAUCAUCACGGCCCUUACGUCCUGGGCUACACACGUGCUACAAUGGUAGGGACGGAGAGCAGCCACUUCGCGAGAAGGAGCGAAUCUACAAACCCUAUCACAGUUCGGAUCGG
RNAcentral lists this ribosomal RNA (504 nucleotides) under uncultured bacterium. Its description in RNAcentral is "bacterial SSU rRNA". It matches the Rfam family "Bacterial small subunit ribosomal RNA", at positions 791 to 1301 of the family's 1533-position model. The record is from RNAcentral.